AUUGAACGCUGGCGGCAGGCCUAACACAUGCAAGUCGAGCGAGCGGCGGACGGGUGUGUAAUGUCUGGGAAACUGCCUGAUGGUGGGGGAUAACUACUGGAAACGGUAGCUAAUACCGCAUACCAUCAGAUGUGCCCAGAUGGGAUUAGCUAGUAGGUGGGGUAACGGCGCACCUAGGCGACGAUCCCUAGCUGGUCUGAGAGGAUGACCAGCCACACGGGAACGGAGACACGGUGCAGACUCGUACGGGAGGGAGCGGUGGGGAAUAUGGCACAAGGGGAGCAAGCCUGAUGCAGCCAUGCCGGGUGUGUGAAGAAGGCCUUCGGGUUGUAAAGCACUUUCAGCGGGGAGGCGUUACCCGCAGAAGAAGCACCGGCUAACUCCGUGCCAGCAGCCGCGGUAAUUC
This 406-nucleotide ribosomal RNA is filed under the name uncultured bacterium. RNAcentral describes it as "partial 16S ribosomal RNA". It matches the Rfam family "Bacterial small subunit ribosomal RNA", at positions 29 to 526 of the family's 1533-position model. The record is from RNAcentral.